GAUGAACGCUGGCGGCGUGCCUAAUACAUGCAAGUCGGACGGAGAUACAAUUGGUAUUCGUACUAGCUGUAUUUCAGUGGCGAACGGGUGAGUAACGCGUAGGUGACCUGCCCCGAAGAGGGGGAUAACAGUGCGAAAGCACUGCUAAUACCCCAUGAGAUCCUCCGGAUUAGUAGCUGGAGGAUGAAAGGGAUGCUCUGCAUCCGCUUUGGGAGGGGCCUGCGUCCCAUCAGCUAGUUGGUAGGGUAAAAGCCUACCAAGGCGAAGACGGGUAGGGGACCUGAGAGGGUGACCCCCACAAUGGAACUGAAACACGGUCCAUACACCUACGGGUGGCAGCAGUAGGGAAUAUUGCACAAUGGGCGCAAGCCUGAUGCAGCAACGCCGCGUGUGCGAAGAAGGCCUUCGGGUUGUAAAGCACUUUUCGGGGAGAAGAGGAAGGACGGUAUCCCCGGAAUAAGGUUCGGCUAACUACGUG
This 478-nucleotide ribosomal RNA is filed under the name uncultured bacterium. RNAcentral describes it as "bacterial SSU rRNA". It matches the Rfam family "Bacterial small subunit ribosomal RNA", at positions 28 to 507 of the family's 1533-position model. The record is from RNAcentral.